UACGGAAGGCAGCAGUGGGGAAUUUUGGACAAUGGGGGCAACCCUGAUCCAGCAAUGCCGCGUGAGUGAAGAAGGCCUUCGGGUUGUAAAGCUCUUUUGUCAGGGAAGAAACGGUAGUAGCGAAUAACUAUUACUAAUGACGGUACCUGAAGAAUAAGCACCGGCUAACUACGUGCCAGCAGCCGCGGUAAUACGUAGGGUGCAAGCGUUAAUCGGAAUUACUGGGCGUAAAGCGUGCGCAGGCGGUUGUGUAAGUCAGAUGUGAAAUCCCCGGGCUCAACCUGGGAAUUGCAUUUUGAGACUGCACGGCUAGAGUGUGUCAGAGGGGGUAGAAUUCCACGUGUAGCAGUGAAAUGCGUAGAUAUGUGGAGGAAUACCGAUGGCGAAGGCAGGCCCCUGGGGAUACACUGACGCUCAUGCACGAAAGCGUGGGGAGCAAACAGGAUUAGGAAUAACC
This 457-nucleotide ribosomal RNA is filed under the name uncultured bacterium. Its description in RNAcentral is "bacterial SSU rRNA". It matches the Rfam family "Bacterial small subunit ribosomal RNA", at positions 340 to 787 of the family's 1533-position model. The record is from RNAcentral.